UAAAUUCAUGGCUUCAUGGGAGUCUGCAAAUGACUGACAAGCCUUAAGGUUGCAGGCUGGCAGAUAUCUCAUGCUACUGAGGUUUUUCUUGAAGAGGUGAGGAUUCCACAGGAGAAUUCUAAUAAGCAAUCAAGUUUCAGCCCUUGAGCUUCUUAACAGAAUGUGGCAGAAAUGAAGGUUCAUGUCUUGUGAGGCUCGGUGGUAAGAAGUCUUUCAGCUUCAUCCUUGAUCUCUUGGAAACACUCUGUCUUGAAGCCUGAGCCUCCAUGUUAGAAGUCUGACUGCCCUGAGACUGCUGUGCUUGUGAGGAAGUCCGACCUACCCAGACGCACAGGACACUAGGUGGAAAGAGCAGUGCCAGCUCUAAGGAAGAAAAGCUUUUCCUCUACCGUCUAAGGUUCUAUAUCUGAGUCUGAGAAUUUAAUUAUAUUAUUUAUGUUUAUAUAUAUUCACAUAUAAUAUGUAAUUGCAUACGUAAAUUUUCAUAUAAUUACAUAUUAUAUAUAAAUAUAUACAUUGACAGAAGAUUAAUAGUAGAAAAGCAUACAAAUUGUAAUAUUUUUAUAUGCACAUGGGAUCCUUCAUACGAAAAAUGAAGAUCCAAAAAAGCUGUUAGGACUGAGAGCUUAUAUACCAAUUAUAUCAAAGAACAAUAAAUUUAUGGAGAAGUGACAAGACAGAGGAAAUGGGGUUUAAACUUCUAGGGGCAGUAUUGUGGGGAAGUGACUCAGAAAUAGAUGAAGUAAACUAAUGGACGAGAAAGUGUAUUUUAGAAGGCUUGUCUGUACAGAUGCAUUUCAGCAUCAACUCCCAGUCUCUCUCCCUGGUGCAGGGGCAGCACCUUUCUCAUGGGAAGUUUUAUGACCUGCUUUUAGAUAGAAAGAGAGAAGUUCUUUCCUGUAUCUAUUGCUUCUGAAGUGCCUUCAGCCCAGAAUAAGCCAUAUGUCAAAGUGGCAUGUUUUGGAUCAUAUAUUUUGAUCCUUUUCGUAGCCAGUCCAUAGGCACCAUGUAUGUGGGUGAAGCUGUCUCAGACCCUCUAGACUGGAGCAGCCACCAGCCAAUACCACCAAGUGACCUCAUGUGACUCCAUGUGGGAAAGAAUCCCUCCGCAGAUCCACGCAUGAAUUUUUGAUGCAUGAAAUUCUUAGAUAUGAUAAAAUGGUGUUUUUUUUUCUUUAACCUUUAAGUUUUGGUUAGCUU
Molecule: long non-coding RNA, 1200 nt
Filed under: Homo sapiens (human)
Lineage: Eukaryota; Metazoa; Chordata; Mammalia; Primates; Hominidae
Description: HSALNT0199874
Source: RNAcentral